AGCGAACGCUGGCGGCAGGCCUAACACAUGCAAGUCGAGCGGUCGUAGCAAUACGGCAGCGGCAGACGGGAGAGUAACACGUGGGAACGCGCCCUUCGGUUCGGGAUAACCCAGGGAAACUUGGGCUAAUACCGGAUACGCCCUUACGGGGAAAGAUUUAUUGCCGAAGGAACGGCCCGCGUCCGAUUAGCUAGUUGGUGAGGUAACGGCUCACCAAGGCGACGAUCGGUAGCUGGUCUGAGAGGAUGACCAGCCUCACUGGGACUGAGACACGGCCCAGACUCCUACGGGUGGCUG
RNAcentral lists this ribosomal RNA (297 nucleotides) under uncultured Pseudomonadota bacterium. RNAcentral describes it as "uncultured proteobacterium partial 16S ribosomal RNA". It matches the Rfam family "Bacterial small subunit ribosomal RNA", at positions 29 to 351 of the family's 1533-position model. Lineage: Bacteria; Pseudomonadati; Pseudomonadota. The record is from RNAcentral.